GCGACUGUGGUGAAGUGGUUAACACAGCGGAUUGUGGUUCCGCCACGCGUGGGUUCGAUUCCCAUCAGUCGCC
This 73-nucleotide transfer RNA is filed under the name Isobaculum melis. It matches the Rfam family "tRNA". Rfam says of the family: Transfer RNA (tRNA) molecules are approximately 80 nucleotides in length. Lineage: Bacteria; Bacillati; Bacillota; Bacilli; Lactobacillales; Carnobacteriaceae. The record is from Rfam by way of RNAcentral.